CUGGGAGCAGCCAGCUUUUUAAAAUCAGCUUUUCUGGUCAUUACAUGCACUGACUCAUGCUUUUAUACACAGAAAUACUAGACAUUGGACAAUAAAAGGAAGCCACACUGGAAGGAGAGACUAGAAGCAAGGUCUUUCUUCCUAGUUCUUUCAUGUUCUUGGAAAAGAGCCCCUCUCUCCAAAGUAUGUCCUUUAGUGCCCAAAAACCAGACUGUCUGAACUCAGCAACAUUCUAUAAGAUCUAGUGUUAGAUAAAAAGCCUUGGAGAUUCAACUGUGUACCCUCAAACAAAGGCAAUGCUAUCCGUCCAAAGUCCUGCAAGCCUGGAGGACCAUCUGAUGAUGAGAAAAAACUUCAGUCUACAUGGCCCCUUGAGCCUUUGACAUUUUCUGCUGCAUUCCUGCUAUGACUGACCACAAGGAUGUCCAUUACACCAAUGGGUUUUGUAAUGUGGAUGCUUAUCCUAGAUAUGGCACUAAGCCCACUUCACUCAUCUCUCAAAAAGCUCACCUGGAGGUUCAGUACCACUCCACAGAGGGACAGAAUUGUCUAUAUUCAGCUUGCCUGGACUAAUUGUACCCUGAUAGUAGGAAAACUUGCACCACAUCAGUGCCGGCUGUUUCCUCAAACUGGGGAGGAGAGGAAAUGGACACUUUGCUUCCCUGGAGUCAGCCCAUCCUGUUGUCUGUUCUGGCUUCAGUCUCUGCCUUUAUGAGCCUCCCUAUAAACUAUUACCUUACCUGGCCAGCAUGGUAUACUCUCUAGAUUGGGUAGUAUGUGGAAUUAAUUUUCUUUCUGUCUAAUCAAAAUGUAGAAUAUGCAUACCUCAUUAAUAAAACUUGGCUAUGAAUCCA
Molecule: long non-coding RNA, 854 nt
Filed under: Crocodylus porosus (Australian saltwater crocodile)
Lineage: Eukaryota; Metazoa; Chordata; Crocodylia; Crocodylidae
Description: lncRNA (ENSCPRG00005003754.1)
Source: RNAcentral